Molecule: long non-coding RNA, 628 nt
Organism: Thalassophryne amazonica
Lineage: Eukaryota; Metazoa; Chordata; Actinopteri; Batrachoidiformes; Batrachoididae
Exons: 3
Source: RefSeq, a predicted model, not a curated record
UGACUCACACAGGUUUAACUGGCUAUUACAGUAAUUUUUCACAAAAAGCUGUCAAAAGAUCUGCAAGAAAAGGUAGUUGAGCUGUAUAAAUAAAAAAAACAAAUGUGUUCAAAGUCUUAGUGAUUCUGAUAAUACCAAGGCAUGGUCUGGUAGACCAACAGAGAUUUCUGCUUCAACUGCCAGGUUGGGUUACAAAGAAAAUCCCUCAAACGACUUCCACUGAAAUACUCGUACAGGCUUCACUGCAAGAACGUGGUGUGACUUUUUCAAGGUUGGAUCGCUGAUGGUUUUGGGUGGUGGAUCACUGAUGGUUUUGAGGUUAGAUCUCUGAUGUUUUCAGGGGUAGAUCUCUGAAGGUUUCUGAGGUGGAUCUCUGAUGGUUUUGGGGGUGGAUCUCUAAAGGUUUAAGUGGUGGAUUGCUGAUGUUUUGGGGUGGAUCUCUGAAGAUUUUGAGGGUAGAUCGCUGAUGUUUUGAGGUGGAUCUCUGAAGGUUUUGAGAGUAGAUUGCUGAUAUUUUGGGUUAAAAUUGUUGGCACAAUGAAUGCAGAGUGUUACCAGAAAAUAUUGGACCAUUUACAAAAGCUUGUGCAUGGGGUGUGCUUGAAUUUCCAACAUGAUGAUUUGAAAC